This 465-nucleotide ribosomal RNA is filed under the name Vreelandella stevensii. RNAcentral's name for it is "partial 16S ribosomal RNA". It matches the Rfam family "Bacterial small subunit ribosomal RNA", at positions 338 to 795 of the family's 1533-position model. The record is from RNAcentral. Lineage: Bacteria; Pseudomonadati; Pseudomonadota; Gammaproteobacteria; Oceanospirillales; Halomonadaceae.
CCUACGGGAGGCUGCAGUGGGGAAUAUUGGACAAUGGGCGAAAGCCUGAUCCAGCCAUGCCGCGUGUGUGAAGAAGGCCUUCGGGUUGUAAAGCACUUUCAGUGGGGAAGAAAGCCUUGGGGCUAAUACCCUCGAGGAAGGACAUCACCCACAGAAGAAGCACCGGCUAACUCCGUGCCAGCAGCCGCGGUAAUACGGAGGGUGCGAGCGUUAAUCGGAAUUACUGGGCGUAAAGCGCGCGUAGGCGGUCUGAUAAGCCGGUUGUGAAAGCCCCGGGCUCAACCUGGGAACGGCAUCCGGAACUGUCAGGCUAGAGUGCAGGAGAGGAAGGUAGAAUUCCCGGUGUAGCGGUGAAAUGCGUAGAGAUCGGGAGGAAUACCAGUGGCGAAGGCGGCCUUCUGGACUGACACUGACGCUGAGGUGCGAAAGCGUGGGUAGCAAACGGGAUUAGAUACCCCGGUAGUC